GAAUAUGAAGCGAUUAAUUGCAAUUAGUUUCGACCUAAUCUUAGGCUUAUAAAGCCCUUAUUCU
Molecule: transfer RNA, 64 nt
Filed under: Thaumalea sp. ZK-2019
Lineage: Eukaryota; Metazoa; Arthropoda; Insecta; Diptera; Thaumaleidae
Description: tRNA-Arg
Source: RNAcentral